GCAAAAUACAUGAUCAUGACUGACCACGUGCCCACACCAGCUUCCAUAUCCAAGAGACCAAGCAACACUUCAUAGGCCAUGCCAUCGACACAUCCGCAUUGACAACAUGGACCACAAAGACAGCUUCAAGGUUCGUAGGCACCGCAAGCGAUGCUUAACGAAAGCAAACUUUGUUGAAACAGCAUAAUGCCAUCAAUUAGGUAUGCAACACAGGAACCCACAAUGUUCAAGGCAAAUUCGCCUUGUAACACAACUGAAGAGGUAAGAACGCAUGGAAGUUGCUGCUCAAGCAGACAUCCAACCACCCGUUACAAACCAAACACCACUCAUGCACCUUUAGGGUAGACAUCCCCGAAGAUCAUCAAACUAACAGCCACCCACUUGGCACAAGGCCAUGCAAG
RNAcentral lists this unclassified non-coding RNA (401 nucleotides) under Lactuca serriola (prickly lettuce). RNAcentral's name for it is "partial external transcribed spacer". The record is from RNAcentral. Lineage: Eukaryota; Viridiplantae; Streptophyta; Magnoliopsida; Asterales; Asteraceae.